This 491-nucleotide ribosomal RNA is filed under the name uncultured bacterium. RNAcentral's name for it is "partial 16S ribosomal RNA". It matches the Rfam family "Bacterial small subunit ribosomal RNA", at positions 29 to 507 of the family's 1533-position model. The record is from RNAcentral.
AGUGAACGCUGGCGGUAGGCCUAACACAUGCAAGUCGAACGGCAGCACAGUAAGAGCUUGCUCUUACGGGUGGCGAGUGGCGGACGGGUGAGGAAUACAUCGGAAUCUACUUUUUCGUGGGGGAUAACGUAGGGAAACUUACGCUAAUACCGCAUACGACCUACGGGUGAAAGCAGGGGAUCUUCGGACCUUGCGCGAUUGAAUGAGCCGAUGUCGGAUUAGCUAGUUGGCGGGGUAAGGCCCACCAAGGCGACGAUCCGUAGCUGGUCUGAGAGGAUGAUCAGCCACACUGGAACUGAGACACGGUCCAGACUCCUACGGGAGGCAGCAGUGGGGAAUAUUGGACAAUGGGCGCAAGCCUGAUCCAGCUAUACCGCGUGGGUGAAGAAGGCCUUCGGGUUGUAAAGCCCUUUUGUUGGGAAAGAAAAGCAGCAGGUUAAUACCCCGCUGUUCUGACGGUACCCAAAGAAUAAGCACCGGCUAACUUCGUG